RNAcentral lists this long non-coding RNA (2408 nucleotides) under Olea europaea subsp. europaea. The record is from RNAcentral. Lineage: Eukaryota; Viridiplantae; Streptophyta; Magnoliopsida; Lamiales; Oleaceae.
AAACAUGGGAAAAUUGAAAACACGGAAAGCAUCCCAUUUUCCAUUAUUGUGCGUGAGAGCAGAGAACCAAGGAAGGCCCGCUACCUUCUUCCUCAACAAUCGACCACUACCCGCCACCUAGAACACCAGAUUUCACAACCAUUCGAACCCCCUCACCUCCCUCUUCAACAUCUAGUCAUCACCUGGCCAUAGAGUUGCCCAAAACAGCCCCAAUCAUCACCCAAAAUCGCGCUACCAGUCACGGUUUUCUCCAUACUUCCACUGCUGUCGGCCACCGUUUCGAGUGCGGACCACCACCACUCUACUCCUCUCAACCAGGCGUAUCCAAUACAGCCAUGUGUCACCUGCAAUUUUGUCCGAAUUCGAGUGAGCUUGUGAAAGCAGUCCCUGAGUUGUGGCAGAUUCGGUCCCAACAAAAUUGAUGAAAUUUUAUUGAUGCAAACAAUCAAUUCUACUUUCCAAACAUCAAGGUUGGUUUUUUAAAUGGGUUGGGUUUAGUUUUUGCACAUUUAUUUAUGGUUUCUUGUAUGUUAUUGAAUUUGUUGGCUACUUAAUGUUAUUGAAAUUUUCGAAAUUGGAUGUUGAAAACGAGGUGACUUUCAUUAUCUUGUUGGCUACUUAAUGUUGCUUAAGGAGUCUGCAAACUGGUAGUCUUAGUUUGGAUAAGAAAUUGUUGAAAUCUUUUUGCUGGAGAUAGGUCUCAUUAUUAGAUGAAUGAGAUUGAAUUCAAAUCACUAGUAAUUGGCUUUGAGUAAUCUGUAAAUGCCACUCGUGGUGGUGGAUUGCUAAUUUGCUUCAAAAGAAUGCAAUUCAAUAUCAAACAAUUUCUUGCCAUAAAUCAUAACUAUGAAAAUAUAUACUGCAAGUAUAGAUUAUUUUGGAAAAGCUGUGGGAUGUCUCUUCCCCAGUAUGUGUAACUGAUUUUUGUUCAUGAAUGAUGAGAAACGUUUGAAGUUGGUUGUCCCUCAUUGAAUUUGAUUAAGGAGGAAAGAUUGAUAAUCCAGUGUUAAUUGAUGAAAGGUCGUGAUACUAAACAAAUAGAUCAAGAUUAGGGCUCAAGAUAAAUUAGAUAGAGUCAAGGAUUAAACAGUUAAAAUAGGGUCGAAUCAUAGGUCAAAAAUGAUAAAUGAAUAAAUGCACCCAAAUUGCCCAAAAGACAUUGUAGUUUGCAGCAAAGCUAACAACCUGGUGAUGAACAGUGAGAUCAAAUGUAUUAAAAGUGACAAGAAUAAGAGACAAGUACUCUUAAAUCAUAUUGAUAGUAGGAUAGUUGGAAAAGACAAAUCAUAUCCAACAUGUUUGAGGAAAUGAAAUAACAGUACUAUGCCCAAUCUGGACAAGAAUCUGGAGAUGUUACAUUAAUAGAAAGAGGGUAGGCAAUUGAACAUAGAGAUCAGUCCAUGAACGAAGGUCCCAUCAAAUUUUUAUAUUACAUGAAACAUCUCUGUCUCUCUCCCCUCCUCUUGUUUGUUGUUGUCACAUGUGCAAAACCAACAAGAAAGAAACAGGUCAUGAGAGAGAUAGAGAGAAAGAGAGAGAGAGAGAGUUCUCUUUCUCCAGAUCUCUUUUUGACUGCCAAAGCUAAGCCCUUCUCAUGCUUGUAAUAUUACUUGCUUUUCUUAUUCUUGUUCUUUCUUUCAAGCUCUGUUCUUUUUCGAGUACUUGUAGCUUAUAGGUAUGUGGCCUUGUAGUUUUUCAUAUGGUCAAUCUAUUCAGUGGAAGGAAUGUCCUACUGAAAUGGAGGUGCCUCGAAAGGAAGUAGUUGUUAAUCAGGUGCAACAAUUGGAUUAUAGAGCGCAUCAAGAGAGGGAACUGAAGUUCAUGACUGCUGGCUGGAAGUGUGAUUGCCAUGGCAGGUGGUUUAAGGAUGAAAAUGUAAGCUUUAAUUUCUUUGGCUUCAUGUUUAAUUGGUAAUAUGUACAAUUUUUGGUUUAACUUGCAGCGAUAAAUUUGAGGGCAGUUUUAUUAUUUUUUGUUGUCAUAGUAUAUUUGCUUCUACAUAAUAAAAUUUUAAUAGAAUAAAUCAUUUCCAUUUGGUAGAGGUCUAUAUGAUGGUUUCAUCUGCUUGCAGAUUGAGUUUGACUCUGAUGCACAAAUGAGGGAUUCUUGAUUUUUCAUCUGUUAAGAUGCAAACAUAUUGGCAUUCUAUGCAUCUAGGAAAUGACCAGCAAUUACAUUUCAUGCUGGUGUGUGCCAUCACAAUUUGUAUAUUACGAGGAAACUAUUUUCAGCCUUUCUAACUUGAAUAUUGACAAAUGACAAUUGGAUGAGUUUGGUCUUCUUGUAGUAUUCUGUCUUUCAAUGUCAUUUUGAGCUUCUUUUGGGCAUGUAUGAUAUGUGUAGAUAAAUUAAAAGAUGCUUUGAGGUUGGUUGACUAAGCUCGAAGUGUUUUGGUGCUAGUUGAACAA